CUACCAUGGCUUUCACGGGUAACGGAGAAUUAGGGUUCGAUUCCGGAGAGGGAGCCUGAGAAACGGCUACCACAUCCACGGUAGGCAGCAGGCGCGUAAAUUACCCAAUCCUGAUUUAGGGAGGUAGUUACAAGAAAUAUAGAAUUCGCAAUUGCGAUUAUCUAACUGGGUUGAAUGUAAACCGUUCUUCGAAUGCGAUUGGAGGGCAAGUCUGGUGCCAGCAGCCGCGGUAAUUCCAGCUCCAAUAGUGUAUCUUAAUGUUGUUGCAGUUAAAAAGCUCGUAGUUGAAUUUCUGGCAAUACAGCUGAUCUUUUCGAGAAGCACGUAUAUGUCAUCCGCAUUGGAAGCACAUUCGAUAGCAAUAUCAGUGUGUGGAAGGUGCAUUUUACUUUGAAGAAAUUAGAGUGUUCCAGGCAGGCUAUGCUUGAAUAUUACAGCAUGGAAUAAUGGAAUAGGACAAGUUCAUUUUAUUGGUUAUUGAAUUUGUAAUGAUUAACAGGGACAGUUGGGGGCAUUCGUAUUGGGUAGUCAGAGGUGAAAUUCUUAGAUUUACUCAAGACGCACUAAUGCGAAAGCAUUUGCCAAGGAUGUUUUCAUUAAUCAA
This 604-nucleotide ribosomal RNA is filed under the name Ciliophora sp. RNAcentral describes it as "SSU rRNA". It matches the Rfam family "Eukaryotic small subunit ribosomal RNA", at positions 341 to 980 of the family's 1831-position model. The record is from RNAcentral. Lineage: Eukaryota; Ciliophora.